CCUGGCCCCACACCUGGGCGGGGAUGCCACCUCUCUGAGCCUCCGUUUGCCGCCAGUUUGGAGAGGGAUCCCCGACGUUAUCUCCCUUAGAGGGUGCCCUGGUUCCUGAACCCCGUCUCCCAUCACGGGCUCACCCCAAGCCAGUCAAGCCGGACUUCCAGCCCCUAGAGCUGCCCUCACGGGACCAAAGCUGAGGCCACCAGACCCCAGACAACACUCUAAGGAGGCCGUGGUGACUGGAAGCCUCGCCUGCACAGAAAGUUGUCCUGUCAUAUGCCGACCUGCAGUGUAUGAAAGCCUCCGCCCCCCAAA
This is a long non-coding RNA of Myotis davidii, 312 nucleotides long. RefSeq lists it as uncharacterized. Lineage: Eukaryota; Metazoa; Chordata; Mammalia; Chiroptera; Vespertilionidae. The transcript has 4 exons. The record is from RefSeq and is a predicted model, not a curated record.